This 228-nucleotide ribosomal RNA is filed under the name uncultured bacterium. RNAcentral describes it as "partial 16S ribosomal RNA". It matches the Rfam family "Bacterial small subunit ribosomal RNA", at positions 111 to 339 of the family's 1533-position model. The record is from RNAcentral.
UAACGCGUAUGCAACCUACCUUCAAUUGGGGGAUAACUCUGGGAAACUGGAAUUAAUACCGCAUAAGAUAGUAAUGCUUCAUGGCAUAGCUAUUAAAGAUUUAUCGAUUGAAGAUGGGCAUGCGUGACAUUAGCUAGUUGGCGAGGUAACGGCUCACCAAGGCAACGAUGGGUAGGGGUCCUGAGAGGGAGAUCCCCCACACUGGUACUGAGACACGGACCAGACUCC